RNAcentral lists this transfer RNA (85 nucleotides) under Felis catus (domestic cat). It matches the Rfam family "tRNA". From Rfam's summary of the family: Transfer RNA (tRNA) molecules are approximately 80 nucleotides in length. Their secondary structure includes four short double-helical elements and three loops (D, anti-codon, and T loops). Lineage: Eukaryota; Metazoa; Chordata; Mammalia; Carnivora; Felidae. The record is from Rfam by way of RNAcentral.
GCCUGGAUGGCUCAGUCGGUUAAGGGUCUGACUUCAGCUCAGAUCAUGAUCUCACAGUUUGUGGGUUCGAGCCCCACAUUGGGCU